GUGGGGGAUAUUGCACAAUGGGGGAAACCCUGAUGCAGCGACGCCGCGUGAAGGAAGACGUACUUCGGUAUGUAAACUUCUAUCAGCAGGGAAGAAGAUGACGGUACCUGACUAAGAAGCCCCGGCUAACUACGUGCCAGCAGCCGCGGUAAUACGUAGGGGGCAAGCGUUAUCCGGAUUUACUGGGUGUAAAGGGAGCGUAGACGGUGAAGCAAGUCUGAUGUGAAAACCCGGGGCUCAACUCCGGGAUUGCAUUGGAAACUGUUUGACUUGAGUGCAGGAGGGGCAAGCGGAAUUCCUGGUGUAGCGGUGAAAUGCGUAGAUAUCAGGAAGAACACCGGUGGCGAAGGCGGCUUGCUGGACAGUAACUGACGUUGAGGCUCGAAAGCGUGGGGAGCAAACAGGAUUAGAAACCCCUGUAGUCC
RNAcentral lists this ribosomal RNA (425 nucleotides) under uncultured bacterium. RNAcentral describes it as "partial 16S ribosomal RNA". It matches the Rfam family "Bacterial small subunit ribosomal RNA", at positions 354 to 796 of the family's 1533-position model. The record is from RNAcentral.